RNAcentral lists this ribosomal RNA (593 nucleotides) under uncultured Clostridium sp. Its description in RNAcentral is "bacterial SSU rRNA". It matches the Rfam family "Bacterial small subunit ribosomal RNA", at positions 88 to 700 of the family's 1533-position model. Lineage: Bacteria; Bacillati; Bacillota; Clostridia; Eubacteriales; Clostridiaceae. The record is from RNAcentral.
AAUGAAAGUGGCGAACGGGUGAGUAACACGUGAGCAACCUACCUUACACAGGGGGAUAGCCGUUGGAAACGACGAUUAAUACCGCAUGAGACCACAGAAUCGCAUGAUAUAGGGGUCAAAGAUUUAUCGGUGUAAGAAGGGCUCGCGUCUGAUUAGCUAGUUGGAAGGGUAAAGGCCUACCAAGGCGACGAUCAGUAGCCGGUCUGAGAGGAUGAACGGCCACAUUGGAACUGAGACACGGCCCAAACUCCUACGGGAGGCAGCAGUGGGGAAUAUUGCACAAUGGGGGGAACCCUGAUGCAGCGACGCCGCGUGAGCGAAGAAGGUUUUCGAAUCGUAAAGCUCUGUCCUAUGAGAAGAUAAUGACGGUAUCAUAGGAGGAAGCCCCGGCUAAAUACGUGCCAGCAGCCGCGGUAAUACGUAUGGGGCGAGCGUUGUCCGGAAUUAUUGGGCGUAAAGGGUACGUAGGCGGUUUUUUAAGUCAGGUGUGAAAGCGUGAGGCUUAACCUCAUUAAGCACUUGAAACUGGAAGACUUGAGUGAAGGAGAGGAAAGUGGAAUUCCUAGUGUAGCGGUGAAAUGCGUAGAUAUUAG